CCACCUUUUUUUUCCCUCCAACUUUUGCUUCUGUGGGAGUAUUCAUCCUGCAUCCACCACCAAGUAGCGUCAGGACUUCCAGAAAAUCGGAGAGACAAUCCUGACUGAAAAAAUGGAUGCUGUCGAUCGAGGGGAGGGUCAUAAUUCCACCUGCUGCUCACCUGACUGACUUCGCCACUGCCUUGGCCGCUCUCUUCGCCUGUUACUAUGUUUUCAACCUAGAGUGUCAGGUGCAAGCCAACACAACAUUGGAGUUUGUUCAGAGGUUUUUGGUCAGGAUUAAUCCUGACUCCACUAAGUGCAGUGCCAAGGAGCAGAUGAGCAGGAAGACUGGGAGAGUGGUAAAGUGGAAGACUUCCUACAUGAACCCCCAUGUGAUCUCCAUCAGGGACUUCACUGAGUUCGAUUGGCUAAGUGACUAGA
This is a long non-coding RNA of Neoarius graeffei (lesser salmon catfish), 423 nucleotides long. RefSeq lists it as uncharacterized. The transcript has 3 exons. NCBI's taxonomy places the organism in Eukaryota, Metazoa, Chordata, Actinopteri, Siluriformes, Ariidae. The record is from RefSeq and is a predicted model, not a curated record.